This 62-nucleotide transfer RNA is filed under the name Trichinella pseudospiralis. RNAcentral describes it as "tRNA-Arg". Lineage: Eukaryota; Metazoa; Nematoda; Enoplea; Trichinellida; Trichinellidae. The record is from RNAcentral.
UGAACACUAAAUGAUUGGAUCAUGCUUAAUUUCGACUUAAGUUUAGGCGUUGCCAGUGUUAG